Molecule: ribosomal RNA, 253 nt
Filed under: uncultured bacterium
Lineage: Bacteria
Description: partial 16S ribosomal RNA
Rfam family: Bacterial small subunit ribosomal RNA
Source: RNAcentral
GACAGAGGGUGCAAACGUUGUUCGGAAUUACUGGGCGUAAAGCGUGUGUAGGCGGUCUUGUAAGUCGGGUGUGAAAGCCCUGGGCUCAACCCAGGAAGUGCACUCGAUACUGCGAGGCUAGAGUAUCGGAGAGGUUGGUGGAAUUCUCGGUGUAGAGGUGAAAUGCGUAGAGAUCGGGAGGAACAUCUGUGGCGAAGGCGACUGCCUGGACCAGCACUGACACUGAGGCACGAAAGCGUGGGGAGCAAACAGG